This 253-nucleotide ribosomal RNA is filed under the name uncultured bacterium. RNAcentral describes it as "partial 16S ribosomal RNA". It matches the Rfam family "Bacterial small subunit ribosomal RNA", at positions 524 to 776 of the family's 1533-position model. The record is from RNAcentral.
UACGUAGGCAGCGAGCGUUGUUCGGAAUUACUGGGCGUAAAGGGCGCGUAGGCGGCCGCUCGCGUCGGAUGUGAAAGCCCGGGGCUCAACCCCGGAACGGCAUCCGAUACGGGGCGGCUGGAGACCGGGAGAGGAGGGUGGAAUAGCCAGUGUAGAGGUGAAAUUCGUAGAUAUUGGCUGGAACACCGGUGGCGAAAGCGGCUCUCUGGCCCGGUUCUGACGCUGAGGCGCGAAAGCGUGGGGAGCAAACAGG